Molecule: non-coding RNA, 1170 nt
Organism: Podarcis lilfordi (Lilford's wall lizard)
Lineage: Eukaryota; Metazoa; Chordata; Lepidosauria; Squamata; Lacertidae
Source: the annotation of a GenBank genome assembly
AGCAAUUCGAAAGAACAUCAAAGUGCAAGUAGGUAAACGGCGUUUCUGUGCGCUGCUCUGGUUCACCAGAAGUAGCUUAGCCAUGCUGGCCACAUGACCCGGAAGCUGUACGCCUGCUCCCUCGGCCAGUAAAGCGAGAUGAGCGCCACAACCCCAGAGUUGUCUACAACUGGGUCUAAUGGUCAGGGGUCCCUUUACUUGAAGGACCAAACCAAGAAUUACAACAAUCUCUUCCUCAAACUGGUUCAGCCUCCACCACCUUUACUGCAGUCAACUGAAGGCAACCAACUAUGCCCUGGGGGCCCCGAUCUUUCUCACUGCCAAUGAAAACUAAUAAAUGAAAAGGAAGAGAAGCUACCCAUGUCACACUGACACAAACACCUUGCAUAUGAACUUUGUAAAAUAAUGAAAGUGUACUACCCCUCCCCCGCUCGCUUUCUGCACCUCUCAAUUCCCCAACCUUACACUGUAUACAACAUUAAAGUCUGUCUGUCUCUGAAUUUUUAUGAUAUCCAAACAGAGUAGCUUAUAGUUAGGAAGCCAACACCCUCCCUUCAGAUGUGAAGGAAAUAAGCAGCUAUCCUAUCCUAAAAGACAUCUGAAGGCAGCCCUUUUUAGGGAAGUUUUUGAUAUUUAAUGCUGUACUGUUUUUAACACUUGAUUGGAAGCCACCCAGAGUGGCUGGGGAAACUCAGCCAGAUGGGCGGGGUAUAAAUAAUAAAUUAUGAUGAUGAUAAUGUAAUGAUCUUCCUCUGUUUCACUUCAGAUAAUUCAGUGGGGCCUCUUCUCAGUUCAUUCUCUUCUGGAUCAGUGCCUUAAUCCUUUGUAGAUUCUGUAUAUCACAGAAUAGCCAUUGAGGUGUCCCCAGAUGUUGUUGUCAAGUUCCCAUCAGCUUCAGCCAGCAGGGCAGACAGUCAAGGAUGAUAGAAACUCUAAUCUGGACCUCACCACCUGAACUCUGCUGCCCUAUAUCCUUCCCAUUGAAAGAAAUGUGAAAAUAAAUUUUGGACGCUAUAGAUUUAUCCUGGUCUGGUGCAUGCAAUGUCUUUUGUUUUGCAGCUGUGUGAUUUGUGCUCAUAUUGUAUUGUGGUGGCCAUUGGCUAUAAACAAUAAAAUUUAUAGAUACAGUAGAUUGAAAUGCAAAAAUAAGUAAUAAAAUAUAUAAAACGA